GACGAACGCUGGCGGCGUGCCUAAUACAUGCAAGUUGAGCGAUGAAGAUUGGUGCUUGCACCAAUUUGAAGAGCAGCGAACGGGUGAGUAACGCGUGGGGAAUCUGCCUUUGAGCGGGGGACAACAUUUGGAAACGAAUGCUAAUACCGCAUAACAACUUUAAACAUAAGUUUUAAGUUUGAAAGGUGCAAUUGCAUCACUCAAAGAUGAUCCCGCGUUGUAUUAGCUAGUUGGUGAGGUAAAGGCUCACCAAGGCGAUGAUACAUAGCCGACCUGAGAGGGGGAUCGGCCACAUUGGGACUGAGACACGGCCCAAACUCCUACGGGAGGCAGCAGUAGGGAAUCUUCGGCAAUGGACGAAAGUCUGACCGAGCAACGCCGCGUGAGUGAAGAAGGUUUUCGGAUCGUAAAACUCUGUUGGUAGAGAAGAACGUUGGUGAGAGUGGAAAGCUCAUCAAGUGACGGUAACUACCCAGAAAGGGACGGCUAACUACGUG
This 497-nucleotide ribosomal RNA is filed under the name uncultured bacterium. RNAcentral describes it as "partial 16S ribosomal RNA". It matches the Rfam family "Bacterial small subunit ribosomal RNA", at positions 28 to 507 of the family's 1533-position model. The record is from RNAcentral.